GUCGCCCAUGCCCUGGAAGGUGCGGCGGUCGGUGCCGAAGCGCUGCAGGUUCGACAGCGUGCGGGUGAGCCGGCGGUUCAGGGCCGGCGAGCGGCGC
Molecule: transfer RNA, 97 nt
Filed under: freshwater metagenome
Description: tRNA-???(ga)
Source: RNAcentral